This 403-nucleotide ribosomal RNA is filed under the name bacterium. Its description in RNAcentral is "partial 16S ribosomal RNA". It matches the Rfam family "Bacterial small subunit ribosomal RNA", at positions 355 to 776 of the family's 1533-position model. The record is from RNAcentral.
UGGGGAAUAUUGCACAAUGGGGGAAACCCUGAUGCAGCGACGCCGCGUGAACGAAGAAGGUAUUCGUAUCGUAAAGUUCUGUCCUAUGGGAAGAUAAUGACAGUACCAUAGAAGAAAGCUCCGGCUAAAUACGUGCCAGCAGCCGCGGUAAUACGUAUGGAGCGAGCGGUGUCCGGAAUUAUUGGGCGUAAAGGGUACGCAGGCGGUUUAAUAAGUCGAAUGUUAAAGAUCGGGGCUCAACCCCGCAAAGCAUUGGAAACUGAUAAACUUGAGUAGUGGAGAGGAAAGUGGAAUUCCUAGUGUAGUGGUGAAAUACGUAGAUAUUAGGAGGAAUACCAGUAGCGAAGGCGACUUUCUGGACACAAACUGACGCUGGGGUACGAAAGCGUGGGGAGCAAACAGG